UAAAAACACAGCAGCCAAUAAUUCAGUUAAUUUACCAAGUGAUUUACCCUUCAAAGCUACAGGGGUAGCUUUCCUGAAGAGUGCAAAAACUUCUUUAGCUUUCAAAAUGGUAUAUAGUACAAACAGUGAAGCUAAUAUAGACACAUCUGAUCAUUCAUCAUCAACAAUAACUGCAUCUGAGAAUUAUAGUUCUACAGUAACCGUGGAGUCUAGGUCAACAAUUACUAUUUCUCAUCCAAGCCAUUUUUGUUUAACUGCUACACAUUCCCUGACUCUGCCAAGGAAAAGGGUAAAAUCAAAAUGAUAUCCUGAGGACCUAAGCACUGAUGAUUCCACCGUUUCAAGAGCUUAAUCACUUGUCACCAGAUUAUGGAAAAAAAAUAAAGAACAAAAAAUUAAAAUUCGAAGAUUGCAACAAGCAAAUUUGCGCCAAAGAAAUUGAAUUAGAUGUCUCAAGUCAUUAUUAAAAUACUUACAUGAAAUAAUAACAUGAUUUUAUGGAAAAGCUCAACAUACUACAUAUUUUAUUUGACUUG
Molecule: long non-coding RNA, 536 nt
Organism: Anthonomus grandis grandis
Lineage: Eukaryota; Metazoa; Arthropoda; Insecta; Coleoptera; Curculionidae
Exons: 3
Source: RefSeq, a predicted model, not a curated record